GACGAACGCUGGCGGCGUGCUUAACACAUGCAAGUCGAACGAUGAACCCGGAGCUUGCUCUGGGGGAUUAGUGGCGAACGGGUGAGUAACACGUGAGUAACCUGCCCUGGACUCUGGGAUAAGCGUUGGAAACGACGUCUAAUACCGGAUAGGACCUUGGAUCGCAUGAUCUGGGGUGGAAAGUUUUUUCGGUCUGGGAUGGACUCGCGGCCUAUCAGCUUGUUGGUGAGGUAAUGGCUCGCCAAGGCGUCGACGGGUAGCCGGCCUGAGAGGGUGACCGGCCACACUGGGACUGAGACACGGCCCAGACUCCUACGGGAGGCAGCAGUGGGGAAUAUUGCACAAUGGACGAAAGCCUGAUGCAGCAACGCCGCGUGCGGGAUGACGGCCUUCGGGUUGUAAACCGCUUUUAGUAGGGAAGAAGGGCUUCGGCUUGACGGUACCUGCAGAAAAAGGACCGGCUAACUACGUG
This 472-nucleotide ribosomal RNA is filed under the name uncultured bacterium. Its description in RNAcentral is "partial 16S ribosomal RNA". It matches the Rfam family "Bacterial small subunit ribosomal RNA", at positions 28 to 507 of the family's 1533-position model. The record is from RNAcentral.